RNAcentral lists this ribosomal RNA (391 nucleotides) under uncultured bacterium. RNAcentral's name for it is "bacterial SSU rRNA". It matches the Rfam family "Bacterial small subunit ribosomal RNA", at positions 505 to 898 of the family's 1533-position model. The record is from RNAcentral.
GUGUCAGCCGCCGCGGUAAUACGGAGGGUGCAAGCGUUGUCCGGAAUCAUUGGGUGUAAAGGGUGCGUAGGCUGGCGCCUAAGUCUGAGGUGAAAUCUUGCCGCUUAACGGUAAAAUUGCCUUGGAUACUGGGUGUCUUGAAUCUGACAGAGGUCGGUGGAAUUCGUGGUGUAGCGGUGAAAUGCAUAGAUAUCACGAAGAACAUCAGUGGCGAAGGCGGCCGGCUGGGUCAGUAUUGACGCUGAGGCACGAGAGCGUGGGGAGCGAACAGGAUUAGAUACCCUGGUAGUCCACGCUGUAAACGAUGUAUGCUAGUUGUUGGGCCUUCGGGUUCAGUGACGCAGUUAACGCAGUAAGCAUACCACCUGGGGAGUACGUUCGCAAGAAUGAA